UACGGGGGGGCAAGCGUUGUUCGGAAUUACUGGGCGUAAAGGGCUCGUAGGCGGCCAACUAAGUCAGACGUGAAAUCCCUCGGCUUAACCGGGGAACUGCGUCUGAUACUGGAUGGCUUGAGUUCGGGAGAGGGAUGCGGAAUUCCAGGUGUAGCGGUGAAAUGCGUAGAUAUCGAGAGGAACACCUGCGGCGAAGGCGGGUUGCUGGGCUGACACUGACGCUGAGGCGCGAAAGCUAGGGGAGCGAACGGG
RNAcentral lists this ribosomal RNA (252 nucleotides) under uncultured bacterium. RNAcentral describes it as "partial 16S ribosomal RNA". It matches the Rfam family "Bacterial small subunit ribosomal RNA", at positions 524 to 776 of the family's 1533-position model. The record is from RNAcentral.